GUGCCAGCAGCGGCGGUAAUACGAAGGGUGCAAGCGUUACUCGGAAUUACUGGGCGUAAAGCGUGCGUAGGUGGUUCGUUAAGUCUGAUGUGAAAGCCCUGGGCUCAACCUGGGAAUUGCAUUGGAUACUGGCGGGCUAGAGUACGGUAGAGGGUAGUGGAAUUCCUGGUGUAGCAGUGAAAUGCGUAGAGAUCAGGAGGAACAUCCGUGGCGAAGGCGACUACCUGGACCAGUACUGACACUGAGCACGAAAGCGUGGGAGCAAACAGGAUUAGAUACCCUGGUAGUCCACGCCCUAAACGAUGCGAACUGGAUGGUUGGUUCAACGUAAGGAACUCAGUAUCGAA
Molecule: ribosomal RNA, 347 nt
Filed under: uncultured Lysobacter sp.
Lineage: Bacteria; Pseudomonadati; Pseudomonadota; Gammaproteobacteria; Lysobacterales; Lysobacteraceae
Description: bacterial SSU rRNA
Rfam family: Bacterial small subunit ribosomal RNA
Source: RNAcentral